Pelobates cultripes (western spadefoot toad) is the source of this 317-nucleotide non-coding RNA. Lineage: Eukaryota; Metazoa; Chordata; Amphibia; Anura; Pelobatidae. The record is from the annotation of a GenBank genome assembly.
CUCACAAACCCUAAUCUGCCGGAGAGAUAAUUAUCACGUAUUACUGGGCCUCAGAUUCUCUGGAUUUAACAUAAAGAGUAGUCAGAGAGAAAGCCGAGUUCAAGCGUAGGAGAAAACAGCCUAAACGAGAAGCAAGCCAAAGUCAGGAACACAGAGAGCGGAUAGACGAAUAAACAAGCCAGAGUCCGUAACAAGGAAUCCAAAAUACAAUAAAACACACUCUUGGGUAAUCAAGAACCACAACAGGGCAACGUGCUACAGAAAGCCCUGGCUUUAUAUAGCCAGGGCACUAACACUAUUGGUUAGCAUCAUUUUGG